This 560-nucleotide ribosomal RNA is filed under the name uncultured bacterium. Its description in RNAcentral is "partial 16S ribosomal RNA". It matches the Rfam family "Bacterial small subunit ribosomal RNA", at positions 355 to 932 of the family's 1533-position model. The record is from RNAcentral.
UGGGGAAUAUUGGACAAUGGGCGCAAGCCUGAUCCAGCCAUGCCGCGUGAGUGAUGAAGGCCUUAGGGUUGUAAAGCUCUUUCGCCGGUGAAGAUAAUGACGGUAACCGGAGAAGAAGCCCCGGCUAACUUCGUGCCAGCAGCCGCGGUAAUACGAAGGGGGCUAGCGUUGCUCGGAAUCACUGGGCGUAAAGCGCACGUAGGCGGAUCGUUAAGUCAGGGGUGAAAUCCUGGAGCUCAACUCCAGAACUGCCCCUUGAUACUGGCGAUCUCGAGUUCGAGAGAGGUUGGUUGGAACUCCGAGUGUAGAGGUGAAAUUCGUAGAUAUUCGGAAGAACACCAGUGGCGAAGGCGGCCAACUGGCUCGAUACUGACGCUGAGGUGCGAAAGCGUGGGGAGCAAAGCAGGAUUAGAUACCCUGGUCAGUCCACGCCGUAAAGCGAUGGAUGCUAGCCGUUGGGGGGUUUGACCUCUCAGUGGCGCAGCUAACGCCUUAAGCAUCCCGCCUGGGGAGUACGGUCGCAAGAUUAAAACUCAAAGGAAUUGACGGGGUCAUAGCUG